Salmo salar (Atlantic salmon) is the source of this 2186-nucleotide long non-coding RNA. RefSeq lists it as uncharacterized. The record is from RefSeq and is a predicted model, not a curated record. NCBI's taxonomy places the organism in Eukaryota, Metazoa, Chordata, Actinopteri, Salmoniformes, Salmonidae.
GCCCAGCAGUAUGCUCCCGAUGGUGCUCCUUUAGAACACUGUGAGGGCCCUCGGUACGUUGAUGUAAUCCCCAGAGAAGACAUCAUUGAUGUUAUCCCCAGAAAUUACCCGGAACAUAUUCCAGUCCAAGUGAUCAAAACAGUCUUGGAGAAUGGAUUCUGAUUGGUCUGACCAGCGUUGUACAGACCUGACCACCGGAACAUCCCUCUUGAGUCUUUAUUUGUCGGUCAGGAGGAGAUAAAUGGAGUCAUGGCCAGAUUUGCCAAAAGGAGAACGGGAGAUGGCCUUACUCUCGUGUCGAAAAGGCGUGUAGCAGGGGCCCAGCUUAGAAUCUCUGCAAAUUGGACAGUCAAUGUGUUGAUAGUAAUUUGCGAGCACGGUUCUCAAAUUACUUUUGUUAAAGUCCCCCGCGAUAAUAAACGCUGCCUCCAGGUAUGCAGUCUCCAGUUUGUUCAGGGUACAAUGAAGAUCUUUAUGAGCAUUUUUGGUGGUGGCUUGGGGAGGGAUGUACACAGCCAUGGCGAUAAUCCCUGAGAACUCUCUCAGAAUAUAAAAAGGGUGACAUUUGAUGAGUAAAUAUUCCAAGUUGGGAGAGGAGAGGCUCGUAAGUUCCUGUACGUUUCCCCUGUCGCACCACUUGUUAUUGGUCGUAAAGCAGGUCCCUCUGCCUUUGUUCUUGCCAGAGAGAGCACCUUCCUAUCUGCUCGAUGAACUGUAAAACCCGCUGGUUGUAUUCACCUCAUUUUCAAGGGAAAUAUGGAGGGGGUCUGUUUAGGUUUAUUUGUGGGGGACUUCCAGUAAAGCACUUCCGGCCAAUAGCUCGCAGCUAGCUAGUUAACUAGCUCACUAUCACUUCACACAACUUCCCAAACAUGGAUUCACGCAAAACAGGCAUUUUAUGUUUAGCAAGGGGAUGCCACAAUAACUGUCAGAAACGGAAGCUGUUCAUGGAGCAGGAGUGUUUAGGCCACCUAAUUUGUUGAGAAGCGAGUGCAGUUGAGGCACCUUUUGAUUUGCACCCACCUCCUAAGGAUGAGGAAUCUCUUCAGCUUUGGCUCAAAGCAUUGAACUUGAAGAAACAACCAAACCAACCCUAUGUGUGUUGCUAUCACUUUGUGGACUAGAGGCCGACUGAAGAGCAUCCUUUCCCUGAGAAGUGGCUGGGCUAUGAUGCUCCAGUACAGACCAGAGAGCGACUUAUCAUCAGGACAUCAACACAUACAGAUGAAGACAACUGUGGUGAUGCAGAGUCUGAUCUGAGUGUGCCAAUGCCACCGCAGCAUAAAGAUGCUGAUACUCAAAUUCAGGUCCCAGCAGUGGCUGAUCACAGCUACGUGUCAAGAGAACCAGUCAACAAGCCCACCUGCCACAAACAAACCAAUGAGGUGGUGCAGAGCCAUUGACCCAAACCAUCCUGAAGAAUGACACCAGCUCAGUGUUGUAUACUGGCCUUCCUGUUAGUGUUUUCUUUGACCAUUGUAGCAUUUCUGCAGAAAUUCUACACGGCUAACUUCAAAAUGCAUAUCACUGAUCAAACACUAAUAACCUUGAUGAAGCUGAAGCUGAAUCCACUCCAGAGUGAUCUUACUGAAUGAAGAAUCCUUUCCUACUGGAUUGACACAAUGGAGGAGCACAUGAGGAUUUAUAUUCCAUAUCUGCCAAGGGAGACAAUCCAGAAUACAUUGACUCAGUGCUUCAAAGAGAAGUUCCCCAACAACACUUGCGUCAUCGACUGCUCUGAAACCACUCUUCAGAAAGCACACAAUCUUGAUUCCAUACCAGCCUUCACUCAGAAAGAAGGCCAGCUGUCUGACGAGGAUGUCACAAGCACCAGAAGGAUAGCUAAUGUGCAUAUAAAUGUUGUGAGAGUUAUCAGACGACUCAAGGUGUUCAAAACCCUCUCCCAGACUGUUCCCAUCAACCUGACACACAAAAUGGACAAAGUCCUUAGAAUCUGUGCAGCACUUAUUAACAUGCAGGGUGAAAUCGUCCAUGAGGAUAACGAGUGAGCAGUGAGAAUGUUCAUACAUCUGAAAUGUAACUUUAUACACUAUAAUUUCAUCCAUAUGAGACACUGUGUGUAAAACAGUGCAUUCGGAAAGUAUUCAGACCCCUUGACUUUUUACACAUUUUGUUACGUUACCGUCUUAUUCUAAAAUGGAUUAAAUAAAUGUUUUCCCUCAUCA